This 1123-nucleotide unclassified non-coding RNA is filed under the name Zea mays. Its description in RNAcentral is "misc RNA Zm00001eb034340". Lineage: Eukaryota; Viridiplantae; Streptophyta; Magnoliopsida; Poales; Poaceae. The record is from RNAcentral.
GUGGACACAAUGAUUGGCGAGGAAGCCGUAUCGGCUUAAUAAGAAGAAAUACCAAAAGUGAACAAAAAAUAUUGAUGCUUGUCAUGGAGUCACCGUUUGGUCCUAGGAGCCUUGGAUAAAAAUAUCAAGCAAUUAGACAAAAGUUUACAUGGGAUUAAACAAUAGUAUAUGUACACGUUUGGCCAAAAGCAAAAAAAAAGAGAGAUAAAGACUGGAUAAAUGGGGUCGAACCCUGCACCUCGAGCACCACCAAACGAGGGUACAGAAACAUGCUACAUGACAGUAUUGUACAAGCAAACAAACGAUCGUAUUUUUUUAGGUUCGGCAUGUCUGUUCAGUUCAGACUUCAGACCUUCCCUGAUACAGCUUCUAGUCUCCACCGCAACUUCUGCAGCACAUUACAACACAUGUUCCCUGCAGGCUGCAGCACAUGUUCCCUGCAAAUUCUGUUGAGUCGCAAAGGUCAGCCUUGAGGGAUAGUGGAGUCGCACACAGAGGGGAGGAGGAGGUUGCUGAAAUUGCUGAUGUCCGCGCUCGAUGGAUACGGACAGGGCACGGAGCCACGGACAAUGCGCUGUUCAAUAGAAUAGGAGCGUGCGGCGCAAGGAGAGGAGCUCGACGGAGAUUGAGACGGAGCCAGAGGAAGCAGCAGAUCAAUGCACGUGACAUAGGUCUCGUCGGGCUCAGCGCGACGCAGAUCUGCGGCAGGGAGCAGACCCACGCCAGAGGCCGCAAGCCCACGCUGGAGGACACGUCAGGGGCGCCGACUCCGGUGGAGAGCAGGCCCCUGCCGGAGGCCGCAAGCACGCGCCGUUGGAGCUCGACGGGCGUGUACUCGACGGGGCACGCUGCACAGAGAUCUCCGGGGCACGGAGCAGGGAGCCAGCUUGCCGGAGUUUGGACCUGGGAGAUCUCGACGGGGAUGGAGAUGAUAGGGAUGGAGAUGCGGCGGGACCUGGUGGUGGACGUGCUCGGCGGGCGUGAAGGACCAAUGAAAAAUGUCGCGGGAGAGGCGCUAGGAGCUGGAGGCGACGGGAAGAGAUGUCGAAGAGCCGGCGGCGGGCACCUGGCGGCUGUCCUCAAGCACGUCUGGAUGGAUCGGGUCUGUUGUGGUCCCCACCUG